UUUGUAUGAUUCCAAACUAAAAUUAUCACACUUAUUCACUACUUGUGGCAUAGGAGUAGAAGAAUCAUCAGCAUAUAAGUCCUCUUUAUCACAAGGAACAACAAUUAAAUCAUUUUGUGAUAAAGAAAAAUUAGCAGUGGGUUCCACUAUUUAAUGCUCUUCAUUAGCAUGCAGAAUGGACAAAUUUUGGAUAUUAUGGGUCACAUCAUUCUUACAAGUAUUCACAGACAAUAGAAUCUCCUCUUCAGUAUUGAGAGCAAGACAAAACAAUUGACCAAUAUGGCUAUAAGAAUAGCUAAUGAAGAAGGUUCGAAUUUUAGAAUUCAGACCUCCCAUGAACCUACUCAUAACAUCUUCCAUGCAUUCAUCCAAUCCACCGUACAUGAUACAAAUUUUAAAAUAAUGAAAGUAUUCUUUCAC
RNAcentral lists this long non-coding RNA (420 nucleotides) under Setaria viridis. RNAcentral describes it as "long non-coding RNA (SVIR_LNC006794)". Lineage: Eukaryota; Viridiplantae; Streptophyta; Magnoliopsida; Poales; Poaceae. The record is from RNAcentral.